RNA transcript from Neofelis nebulosa (Clouded leopard), 3715 nucleotides. It is a transcript of the gene named DNA fragmentation factor subunit beta, with no coding region annotated. The record is from RefSeq and is a predicted model, not a curated record. The transcript is spliced from 8 exons. NCBI's taxonomy places the organism in Eukaryota, Metazoa, Chordata, Mammalia, Carnivora, Felidae.
GUGAGGGUUAGGGUGAGGGACAGUGUUAGGAAACCAGCGGACCGUGUGCCGUUCACACUUCGUCAGCCAGAGGCAAUGAGUCAUGUUCAGGAAGAUGUUCGCUUCAAUCAUCGCCCAGGAAAACAGAGUGUGCUGAGCGGCGUGUACUGAUACCAGUCGGGUGAUGUGUCCUCAUUGGUGGGGGUGUGUUUAUGGGCUUAGUGGAAGCAGUCAGGCAUCGUUUUCUGAAACGGGCUUGGAUUUUAAGUGCCUUUAAGGAGCCCGUUUUGAAAGGAUCUGUGUGGCGAAUCCUGUGGAGUCGACACCGCUAUGACCGCAGGUGGAAGGGCCUCAGGUUAAUGCUCCCAGGCGGCCGGCCCGAGACCCGAGACGUUAGCUUCCUGCCCUACCCUCCCUCUCCACAGCUCCCCAUCACCGGUUCCCGCCUGUGCCUCUACGAAGACGGCACUGAGCUCACUGGAGACUACUUCUCGAGUGUUCCUGACAACUCGGAACUCGUGCUUCUCACCUCAGGCCAGACCUGGCAAGGCUCGCUCAAAGGACCGCCGGCUUUUCUGUCUGUGACUCUUCUGGUGGCAGAUGUGAGUGACAUCCAUCACUUCCUCCACGCGUUCCACAAGCCGCAGGCGGGGCUCAUCCAGGCUGCCCGGCAGCUGCUCUCUGGGGAGCAGGCCCCGCUGCGGCAGAAGCUGCUGGCCGACCUCCUGCACACUGUCAGCGAGAACACUGAGGCCGAGACCAGGGCCGAGGAUCCGCCGUGGUUUGAAGGUCUGGAGUCUCGAUUCAAGAAUAAGUCUGGCUACCUGAGGUACAGCUGUGAGAGCCGGAUCCGGAGCUACCUGAGAGAGGUGAGCGCUUCUGCCUCCACGGUGGGCGUGGAGGCUCAGGAGGAGUACGUCCGGAUUGUUGGCCUCAUGUGCCGGAAGCUCAGGGCGGAGCAGUACCACAGCAGCUACUUCGACAGAGGAGCCCAGGCGGACAGCCGGCUCUGCACACCCGAAGGCUGGUUCUCCUGCCAGGGUCCCUUUGACGUGGACAGCUGUGCAUCCAAACACUCCAUCAACCCCUACGGUAACAGGGAGAGCCGGAUCCUCUUUAGUACGUGGAACCUGGACCACAUACUCUUUUCUGGAACGUAAUGAUGUCCUUGUCUCUGCUUUGUGAAGACAGAGGUUUUCCAGUGCCCUUCAAGUGGCUCUAUCACUUUGGGGACAGGUGGCUUUGCACAUAUGUAGCACAUCACAGGGACAGCUGAGGCUCACUUUCCACCCCUCCUGGAUGCACCCCUGUCCUCGCCGGGGAACCGCUCUGCUGCCAUUUGCGAGCGUCCCUGUGAUGCCUGUUUACACAGGCCUUUACCCUGUAGGUGUGAUUUGAAAUGGACGUAAGUGGUGGCCCACGUGGUGACUCUACGCCGGGCUUUUCCGUCCCAUGUCGCGCUCACGGGGAUGCGUCUGUGGGUUUCGUGCACUCGUUUCACCAGGUGCAGAGUGCCUCGCUCUUUCAAGAGAGUAUCAUGUGAAUAUCCGUUUCCAUCCCGGUAGGCGCUUCUGGCCGCCCACCUUCCGCUAUGACAGAGCCUCCUGGGCUGAGCGUGCACGCGGGACCGACCUGCGUGGCCAUGUGGGUGUGGCCCGUGGACUGGCAGCGCCCUCAGCGUGUGGGGACUGGUCAGGAAUGCAGAUUCUCGGGCUCCGCACACCAUUACCCGGGUGCUGGGGAUUGGGGUGCACGUUCAGGUGAGGAGGCUGUCCUGGUGCCCGAGCUGAGGAGCUGCGCUCCCCUCUCGGCAGGGUGCUGGGUCUCACCCCUUCGGUGUGCACCGAGCACCCAGAGACGAUUGCCGGGUUCUCCAGGUCAUCUGUCGGCUACUCUCCGCGCCCCGCUGGGGCGUGGGGACAUCGAUCUGGGGGCGGUCCCAGCACUCAAGGGGCGGAGCAGGCCAGCCUGGAGCAGAGUGCAGACGAAGCAGCAGAGGCCGGAGCAGGGUCGUCUGACACCCUGGUUUCAGAUGCAUUUUCUCUGUCUCAAUACAGUACUUCUGUGUUCUGGCAAAUCGGCCGGCUUCUCCGCACGCGUCUGACUUCCGGUUUUCUGUGCUAUUUCAGGCUCGUUUCUCCCAGGAGGGUCCUGUGGGCACUAAAUGUUCUUUGGUCUUGGAAAAUGUCCCUCUGGCCUCUACUCCUGCGUGGUCAUUUAGCGAUACUGAGUUCUGGGCGGUGGGUGUCCCACCUUCAGAACUUUGAAGACGUGCUGACACUCUCCCGGCGUCUGCCCCGGGAGAAUUCUGCCCACAGCCUGUUCUCUGCCUUUUCUACAGACAUUUCAGAUUUUCCCUUUCUCUUUGAACAUGGCGUGUGUGUGGGUUUAGAUCCUUAAAUUCUGACCGGGGCUUGUCUUUGUUCUGAAGACAAGUUUCUCUUUCGUUUUGGAAAACACCUAAGUAUUUUUUAGUGACCCCUUCUCAGCUUCUCUCUGUCCGGCUUCUCUGGAGCUCCCGCUGGCCGCACGUUGGACCUUCUCGUCCUGUCUCCCUUGUGCUGUGGGGGUGGUGUCGGGGAGCCCUCCGAGGCCUCUCAGCGGUCUGUUUCAGAGUGCUCUAGCCCACGUCCUCCGCGGGGGUCCUCGCCCUUUGCGGUGUGCUCCUUGUGACAUCUGUGCUUCUGGAUUCAGAGUCCACCCUCAGUGGGGACUGUGUUUUCUGUGCACUGGCUUGUCGUGUCCCCACAGGGUGGUUUUGCAUUUGUUUCUGCCGGACACUCACGGAAAGCCAGGGCUUCCCGUGGCUCUGAAACAGCGGAGUAUUAAUUUCUGGCUUGGGUCCCGUCCCCUGUGGCAGGUGCAGUCGGACUGUGGGUCUGUGUGAACGGUGAGCCGAGGGUCCUGGGUUUCCUGGUGACUGUGGAAAUGGUCAUGCUGUUGGUGCGCCCGAAUCACGCGUCCUGGGGCCUCUACCUUGUGUGUCGUCCUCACCCCUCCCGCUGCUGACUGAGGCUCGGCCAUGUGGCUCCAGCACACAGGACGCCAGCGGACGCCUGAUACGUGCUUGCGCGCUGGGGCUCCUUCUCUUUGAGUGCUGGCGUCAGUGGGGAGGGCCCUGGCCUGGCCUCCUUGAGGGUGAAAGGCGCCAUGGCGAGCAAGGCCGCCCCCAGCCAGCCCUCCAGCAUCGCGCAGCCACAGGAGCGGUCGGGGUCAACGGGCGCCCCCCUGUUCUGGGGCUGGGCAGGCAGCAGUAGGUAGAGGGUAGGGUGGCUUCUCCUCCCUCCCGGAGCCCCGGGCGCCCCUGCCGCUUCCAUGGCUGGACUGGGGUCUCGGUCCCACCUCCCUGGCCCUCCCCUUGGGCCUCUGUCGGGACCAGAGCCCCAGUGGGCUGCAGGAGGGUGGCUCGCCCCUGCGGAUCAAGUGUGGACUUGGGUUCCUGGCAGUGGGGAGCCCUCACCUGCUCAGCUUUGUACCUCUUUUCCCUUUUCUUCACUGUUUCUCCCGUGUUGUAGGGACAGGUGGGCCCAGCAUGCUGCAGUGGCCCUCCCGGCCUUGUUUCUAUUCCUCGUGUUUACAAGCUCAGUUCGCAAGCUUUACCUGUCCGUACGCGGGCUUUGAAUGAAUAGAAAAGAGGCGCACUGUCAUCCCCACGCUGGAGGCCGCCGUUGCGGAGCGGGCCGGCAGGGAGGUGUCCUGGGAGUACUUCUACAGCCUGCUUUUCACUGCACACAAC